This 310-nucleotide unclassified non-coding RNA is filed under the name plant metagenome. RNAcentral's name for it is "partial contains 5.8S ribosomal RNA, internal transcribed spacer 2, and large subunit ribosomal RNA". The stretch from base 1 to 105 matches the Rfam family "5.8S ribosomal RNA", at positions 50 to 154 of the family's 154-position model. The record is from RNAcentral.
GAAAUGCGAUAAGUAGUGUGAAUUGCAGAAUUCAGUGAAUCAUCGAAUCUUUGAACGCACAUUGCGCCCCUUGGUAUUCCAUGGGGCAUGCCUGUUCGUGCGUCAUUUGUACCCUCAAGCUCUGCUUGGUGUUGGGUGUUUGUCCCCGUCUCCGCGCGUGGACUCGCCCCAAAGUGAUUGGCAGCCGGCGUACUGGUCCCGGAGCGCAGCACAUGUCGCGCAAACGAGUGCCUUGGUACGGCGGCGUCCAUAAGCCCCUCUCUCACGCUCUUGACCUCGGAUCAGGUAGGGAUACCCGCUGAACUUAAGC